This 342-nucleotide ribosomal RNA is filed under the name Triticum aestivum (bread wheat). RNAcentral describes it as "partial small subunit ribosomal RNA". Lineage: Eukaryota; Viridiplantae; Streptophyta; Magnoliopsida; Poales; Poaceae. The record is from RNAcentral.
AUGUUGGGAUCUGGAAGCUUUGGAAAAGUCUUCAAGGGACAACUGAGCAAUGGCUUGGUGGUCGCGGUAAAAGUUAUUGACAUGCAGCUUGAGGAGGCCAUCCAAAGCUUUAAUGUGGAGUGUCAAGUGCUUCGAAUGGCGCUACACCGCAACCUGAUAAAGAUACUCAACACAUGUUCAAACCUUGACUUCAGAGCACUAGUUCUUCAGUACAUGCCAAAAGGCAGCUUAGAGAUGAUCCUACACCGGUCUCAGAGUUCAUGUCACCCAGGGUUCCUUGAGAGACUAGGCAUCAUGCUCGAUGUGUUUAUGGCGAUGGAGUAUCUGCACCAUGAGCACUAA